RNAcentral lists this ribosomal RNA (253 nucleotides) under uncultured bacterium. Its description in RNAcentral is "partial 16S ribosomal RNA". It matches the Rfam family "Bacterial small subunit ribosomal RNA", at positions 524 to 776 of the family's 1533-position model. The record is from RNAcentral.
UACGUAGGGUGCGAGCGUUAAUCGGAAUUACUGGGCGUAAAGCGUGCGCAGGCGGUUUUGUAAGACAGAUGUGAAAUCCCCGGGCUCAACCUGGGAACUGCAUUUGUGACUGCAUGGCUAGAGUGUGUCAGAGGGGGGUAGAAUUCCACGUGUAGCAGUGAAAUGCGUAGAUAUGUGGAGGAAUACCGAUGGCGAAGGCAGCCCCCUGGGAUAACACUGACGCUCAUGCACGAAAGCGUGGGGUGCAAACAGG